AUUGAACGCUGGCGGCAUGCCUUACACAUGCAAGUCGAACGGCAGCACGGGAGCAAUCCUGGUGGCGAGUGGCGAACGGGUGAGUAAUAUAUCGGAACGUGCCCGGUCGUGGGAAUAACGUAGCGAAAGCUACGCUAAUACCGCAUACGAUCUACGGAUGAAAGCGGGGGAUCGCAAGACCUCGCGCGAUUGGAGCGGCCGAUAUCAGAUUAGGUAGUUGGUGAGGUAAAGGCUCACCAAGCCGACGAUCUGUAGCUGGUCUGAGAGGACGACCCAGCCACACUGGGACUGAGACACGGCCCAGACUCCUACGGAGGCAGCAGUGGGGAAUUUUGGACAAUGGGCGCAAGCCUGAUCCAGCAAUGCCGCGUGCAGGAUGAAGGCCU
RNAcentral lists this ribosomal RNA (386 nucleotides) under uncultured bacterium. Its description in RNAcentral is "bacterial SSU rRNA". It matches the Rfam family "Bacterial small subunit ribosomal RNA", at positions 30 to 417 of the family's 1533-position model. The record is from RNAcentral.